UACGUAGGGUGCAAGCGUUAAUCGGAAUUACUGGGCGUAAGCGUGCGCAGGCGGUUAUAUAAGACAGUUGUGAAAUCCCCGGGCUCAACCUGGGAACUGCAUCUGUGACUGUAUAGCUAGAGUACGGUAGAGGGGGAUGGAAUUCCGCGUGUAGCAGUGAAAUGCGUAGAUAUGCGGAGGAACACCGAUGGCGAAGGCAAUCCCCCUGG
RNAcentral lists this ribosomal RNA (209 nucleotides) under uncultured bacterium. RNAcentral describes it as "partial 16S ribosomal RNA". It matches the Rfam family "Bacterial small subunit ribosomal RNA", at positions 524 to 733 of the family's 1533-position model. The record is from RNAcentral.